Molecule: transfer RNA, 853 nt
Filed under: uncultured Synechococcus sp.
Lineage: Bacteria; Bacillati; Cyanobacteriota; Cyanophyceae; Synechococcales; Synechococcaceae
Description: partial contains 16S ribosomal RNA, 16S-23S ribosomal RNA intergenic spacer, and 23S ribosomal RNA
Rfam family: tRNA (bases 283-355)
Source: RNAcentral
UUGGAUCACCUCCUAACAGGGGGACAAACAACGAUUUUGAUGCCUGAGUGCUUUUAUUCUUAGGCCGAAAUCCUGUCACCUUAGGUCGAUCGGUACCUCAGCUUUGAAGUCAAGAAUUUGUAGAAAUGCAGAUUGCUUGAUGGAGAUUCUUAGUUCCUAAACUUUGUCUAGGUCACACCCCACAAGGGAUGAGACUCCUGGGCCAUUAGCUCAGGUGGUUAGAGCGCACCCCUGAUAAGGGUGAGGUCCCUGGUUCAAGUCCAGGAUGGCCCAUUCGGUGUUGGGGGUUUAGCUCAGUUGGUAGAGCGCCUGCUUUGCAAGCAGGAUGUCAGGAGUUCGAGUCUCCUAACCUCCACUGACCGAACUUUGUCCCCAACUUCAUUGUAUGGAGUUGAGCUCGAAUGGAGUGUGAUUUAGAUGUGUCCGCUGGAAGGAUCCUAGCUUCCUGUCAUUCUAAGGAUUGAUUUGAAUCAUUUUGAUUUUGAUCGAUGUUUAGUUGAUAAGAUGCUGGGCUCAAACUGAGCAAUCAGUUUGAAGUUCUAGCAGAACCUUGACAACUGCAUAGGUGAGUCUGGAAAGAAUAAAGCAUCUCAUGGAUGCAUCAUUCUUUUUUGGAUGAUGUUUGAUUCUUGAGCAAGAGCCGAGACUCCAUCACGUUCUUUCGAUUGUGUCGAGCAAUUGCGAGUUUGAUUCUUGAUUCAACAAUGAAUCAGGGAGAAUCUGUUUCAACGACAGCAAGCGUGUUGGAGAUUAUAUGGUCAAGCUACAAAGAGCUCACGGCGGAUACCUUGGCACACAGAGGCGAUGAAGGGGCACACAGAGGCGAUGAAGGGGCACACAAGGCGAUGAAGGA